Molecule: ribosomal RNA, 1536 nt
Filed under: Klebsiella pneumoniae
Lineage: Bacteria; Pseudomonadati; Pseudomonadota; Gammaproteobacteria; Enterobacterales; Enterobacteriaceae
Description: bacterial SSU rRNA
Rfam family: Bacterial small subunit ribosomal RNA
Source: RNAcentral
UUGAAGAGUUUGAUCAUGGCUCAGAUUGAACGCUGGCGGCAGGCCUAACACAUGCAAGUCGAGCGGUAGCACAGAGAGCUUGCUCUCGGGUGACGAGCGGCGGACGGGUGAGUAAUGUCUGGGAAACUGCCUGAUGGAGGGGGAUAACUACUGGAAACGGUAGCUAAUACCGCAUAACGUCGCAAGACCAAAGUGGGGGACCUUCGGGCCUCAUGCCAUCAGAUGUGCCCAGAUGGGAUUAGCUAGUAGGUGGGGUAACGGCUCACCUAGGCGACGAUCCCUAGCUGGUCUGAGAGGAUGACCAGCCACACUGGAACUGAGACACGGUCCAGACUCCUACGGGAGGCAGCAGUGGGGAAUAUUGCACAAUGGGCGCAAGCCUGAUGCAGCCAUGCCGCGUGUGUGAAGAAGGCCUUCGGGUUGUAAAGCACUUUCAGCGGGGAGGAAGGCGAUAAGGUUAAUAACCUUGGCGAUUGACGUUACCCGCAGAAGAAGCACCGGCUAACUCCGUGCCAGCAGCCGCGGUAAUACGGAGGGUGCAAGCGUUAAUCGGAAUUACUGGGCGUAAAGCGCACGCAGGCGGUCUGUCAAGUCGGAUGUGAAAUCCCCGGGCUUAACCUGGGAACUGCAUUCGAAACUGGCAGGCUAGAGUCUUGUAGAGGGGGGUAGAAUUCCAGGUGUAGCGGUGAAAUGCGUAGAGAUCUGGAGGAAUACCGGUGGCGAAGGCGGCCCCCUGGACAAAGACUGACGCUCAGGUGCGAAAGCGUGGGGAGCAAACAGGAUUAGAUACCCUGGUAGUCCACGCCGUAAACGAUGUCGAUUUGGAGGUUGUGCCCUUGAGGCGUGGCUUCCGGAGCUAACGCGUUAAAUCGACCGCCUGGGGAGUACGGCCGCAAGGUUAAAACUCAAAUGAAUUGACGGGGGCCCGCACAAGCGGUGGAGCAUGUGGUUUAAUUCGAUGCAACGCGAAGAACCUUACCUGGUCUUGACAUCCACAGAACUUUCCAGAGAUGGAUUGGUGCCUUCGGGAACUGUGAGACAGGUGCUGCAUGGCUGUCGUCAGCUCGUGUUGUGAAAUGUUGGGUUAAGUCCCGCAACGAGCGCAACCCUUAUCCUUUGUUGCCAGCGGUUAGGCCGGGAACUCAAAGGAGACUGCCAGUGAUAAACUGGAGGAAGGUGGGGAUGACGUCAAGUCAUCAUGGCCCUUACGACCAGGGCUACACACGUGCUACAAUGGCAUAUACAAAGAGAAGCGACCUCGCGAGAGCAAGCGGACCUCAUAAAGUAUGUCGUAGUCCGGAUUGGAGUCUGCAACUCGACUCCAUGAAGUCGGAAUCGCUAGUAAUCGUAGAUCAGAAUGCUACGGUGAAUACGUUCCCGGGCCUUGUACACACCGCCCGUCACACCAUGGGAGUGGGUUGCAAAAGAAGUAGGUAGCUUAACCUUCGGGAGGGCGCUUACCACUUUGUGAUUCAUGACUGGGGUGAAGUCGUAACAAGGUAACCGUAGGGGAACCUGCGGUUGGAUCACCUCCUU